This 516-nucleotide ribosomal RNA is filed under the name uncultured bacterium. RNAcentral describes it as "partial 16S ribosomal RNA". It matches the Rfam family "Bacterial small subunit ribosomal RNA", at positions 899 to 1397 of the family's 1533-position model. The record is from RNAcentral.
ACUCAAAGGAAUAGACGGGGGCCCGCACAAGCGGUGGAACAUGUGGUUUAAUUCGAAGCUACGCGAAAAACCUCACCUGGACUUGACAUACAAGAAGUAGUGAACAGAAAUGGGAACGACCCGUUAAGUCGGGAGCUUGAACAGGUGCUGCAUGGCUGUCGUCAGCUCGUGUCGUGAGAUGUUGGGUUAAGUCCCGCAACGAGCGCAACCAUUAUCCUUUGUUGCCACUUUCAUCGAGCUUGCUCGGUGAGAAGCACUCUAAGGAGACUGCCUGGGAUAACCAGGAGGAAGGUGGAGAUGACGUCAAGUCAGUACGGCCUUUAUGUCCAGGGCGACACACGUGUUACAAUGGGUGGGACAAAGGGUUGCCAACCCGCGAGGGGGAGCUAAUCUCAAAAACCCACCCCCAGUUCAGAUUGCACUCUGCAAUUCGAGUGCAUGAAGCCGGAAUCGCUAGUAAUGGCAGAUCAGCACGCUGCCGUGAAUACGUUCCCGGGCCUUGUACACACCGCCCGU